RNAcentral lists this ribosomal RNA (475 nucleotides) under uncultured bacterium. RNAcentral's name for it is "SSU rRNA". It matches the Rfam family "Bacterial small subunit ribosomal RNA", at positions 26 to 518 of the family's 1533-position model. The record is from RNAcentral.
AGGACGAACGCUUGCGACGUGCCUAAGAAAUGCAAGUCGAACGGAUGUCGUCCUUCGGGACGGCAUUAGUGGCGAACGGUCGCGUAACACGUGGGCAACCUGCCCUGAAGCGGGGGACGAACAACUCGAAAGAGUUGCUAAUACCGCAUGUGUAUCGGAAUGGCAUCAUUCAGGAUACAAAGCCGCAAGGCACUUCAGGAUGGGCCCGCGGCCUAUCAGCUUGUUGGUGAGGUAACGGCUCACCAAGGCUUCGACGGGUAGCUGGUCUGAGAGGACGAUCAGCCGGAUUGGGACUGAGAUACGGCCCAGACUCCUACGGGGGGCAGCAACUAGGAAUCUUGCACAAUGGGCGAAAGCCUGAUGCAGCAACGCCGCGUGAGGGACGAAGGCUUUCUGAGUUGUAAACCUCUUUCAGCAGGGACGAUGAUGACGGUACCUGCAGAAGAAGCCCCGGCAACUACGUGCCAGCAGCCGC